Poeciliopsis prolifica (blackstripe livebearer) is the source of this 998-nucleotide long non-coding RNA. RefSeq lists it as uncharacterized. The transcript has 7 exons. The record is from RefSeq and is a predicted model, not a curated record. NCBI's taxonomy places the organism in Eukaryota, Metazoa, Chordata, Actinopteri, Cyprinodontiformes, Poeciliidae.
ACCUGCUCUACCCCCGCCCGUUCCUAUUGGGAUCCCCCCUCCAGACCCUGCGGCCGUCCCGCCGGUCCCUCCUCCGGGCUGCAUGCCUCCGUUUGGAUUCCCGCCCCCGUUCCCGGCCCCGGUCUGGACCGCGGAGCCUGUGGUGGAGGAGCCGAUGCCCAACCCGCCGCCUGACCAACCGGAGUGGAUCAAGGCUCUUAUUUCUGCUCCACCUGGUGACUCAACUUCAGCCGAGACUAAAAAAGACUCUGAAGCUCCUGCCGUCACCAAAGCCGCGCCCCUGACCCCCCCCCGGCUGCCGCCCCCACACCUCCUGCCGCCCCGAAGCCUGAGCCCAGGUACACGGCCAAGGCGCUGGGGCUGCUAGGAAAGCGGACCUUCGAGAGGCCUCCACCCGGUAGAUCCACAGGGAUCAUCUCCUUCGUCGGGCCAACGUUCGGCUCCAUCGAGAGGGAAGACCUGGAGAAGUUCCAGUUCAGCUUUGAUGUCUUCUUUGGAAACCCCAAUGCCCUGACGCCCGGCGUCCGGGUCCAUUUCACGGCCUGCAAGGAGAAGAACCGGGCUGUGGCCACGGAUGUGAAAGUGGCUCCAGGGGGAACGGAGAACGUGGACCCGGAGAUCUACGAGGCCGUGGUCAGCCAGGCCAUCGAGGAGCCGCAGGAGCCGAAGCCCAUCAUGCAUUGCUGCGGACAGCGAUAGUGGGUCGGUUCUGGUUCCUUUCUGGCGGCCAUGUUGAGCAGUACUGCCAGUGAAACUACAAAUCUCAAGAUGCAUCAAUCUUCAGUAACCUGGUGAUCCAGGGCUGGGGGUGGUGUGAUGUCAUCAGAGUGAGCUGAUGACAUCACACUUAGACUCAGCUGGUAGUGGGUUGUAUGUCGUUGCUGAGGCAACAGUGGUGAACUCCCUCAACUAGUCUGCUAACAGCUCAGCAUCUUGAUACGGCUCUGCUCACCCAAAGCCUUUGCUUUUGCUGCUCCUCUUUAAAUCUCUGUCUGACC